RNAcentral lists this long non-coding RNA (3396 nucleotides) under Nicotiana tabacum (common tobacco). RNAcentral's name for it is "long non-coding RNA (NTAB_LNC005174)". The stretch from base 227 to 371 matches the Rfam family "Bacterial large subunit ribosomal RNA", at positions 2662 to 2808 of the family's 2925-position model. Lineage: Eukaryota; Viridiplantae; Streptophyta; Magnoliopsida; Solanales; Solanaceae. The record is from RNAcentral.
AUCAACAGUGAUUCAAUAGUCCUCAUUCACUCAACCAGCGAACCCCAUUUAUCCUUAAGAUCAAACCUUAAUCACUCACUCACCUCUCAUACGCCGCCCUCAUUCUAUCUCACUCCCUCUUCUCUCACCAUUUUUACCCAAUGAACCCCAACGGCAACUGGUGGUUCACCACCCUCUCUCCCAUCACUAAACCCCCACAUUUUCCCCUUUCUUUCUUCUCUAUCAGAUCUCUGGACCUUUCCCUAGUACGAGAGGACCGGGAAAGACGCACCUCUGGUGUACCAGUUAUCGUGCCCACGGUAAAUGAUGGGUAGCCAAGUGCGUAGCGGAGAAAUGCGGAGGUCUAUCACUUAUCCCGGUCAAAUUACUUUGGCCUUCAUAGGAUCUGGAAGAUCCUUUGGUUUUGUUAAAGAAACAGUCAAGAUUUGGUGAGCCAAAGCAUAUUCGAGAUGGAGCUUCAAAAAUGGGAGCGAACAGCCCUCAACGACUCCUUCUCCUCACAUCAAUCCCUUAAAAGGUGAGACUCCUCUCAAAUCUCUUUCUUUCUAUCUUUCUCUUCUUUUUAUCACAUAGACUGCCACUAUUUGAAAUUCAAAACCCAACCGGGUAGAUGAAGCCAUAACUAUGGCUAUGAUAUAAUCUAUUAACUUGCAAGGAAAAUAAUGAGAUCUAAGUUAGCAAUCUAAGAGAGAAGAGAAAGGAACUAAGUAUUCUUAUUCAUAAUCCUCAAAUGGGUAAAGUGCAGUACAUAUAACGUGACUUAGAUGGAGACUAAAGUAAAAGAAAUAUAAGACUAACUGGGCCAAAGUAAAAAUACUCUAGGGACUAAACUGCUAGUUCUCAAAUUGUAUACCGACUUAACUACUUCUUAUUCUCGUACUACUCCCGCAGUUGUGCAAUUGACGCAGUUUAUAUCAGUACUCCCCCCUGAAAAUCUUCAUUGUCCUCAAGGAAGAAAGGAUGGAAACCCGACACGCAAAAUACUAGCAUUUUCCCAAGUUGCUUGAUCUUCUGAAAGUUGAUCCCAUUGAAUUAGAAGCUGAACAAUUGCCUUAUUCCCCUUCUGAACCAUCCUUCUGUCCAACACAUUAGCAGGGCAAGGAAAAUAAGGGCUAGACAAGUCCAAAACUGGGGGGUGAGAUACUUUCUGAGGGACCUUGUAACAGGGUUUAAGUAAGGAUACAUGGAAGGUGGGGUGCAACAUCAACUGUGGAGGCAAGGACAGUUUGUAGGCAACAUUGCCUACCUUCUGAAGGAUCUGGUAUGGUCCAUAAUACUUGGAAGAAAGUUUGGUGAAGUGUCUACUAGAUAAAGUCAUCUACCUAUAGGGUUGAAUCUUAAGAUACACCCACUCUCCAACCUUAAACUGUUUGUCUGAUCUUUUUCUGUUGGCUUGGUCGACCCUCCUCUGUUGAGACCUGGACAGAUGGAACUUAAGUAGCUGCAACUUGAGCUCCUUUGUCAUCAAGCUUCUAACCACUUCUGGUACCCCUGAAUCUCCUUGCAUAUAAGGCAAGUGUAAAGGUGGAGGCUGACCAUACAAGGGUUCAUAUGGUGUGGUCUGAGUGGAUGUGUGAAAGGUGGUGUUAUACCACCAUUCUGCAAAGAUCAAAUAAUGCCCCCAAUCUGCAGGUGAGUCAGAGCAGUAGCAUCAUAAAUAAGUCUCCAAAAACCUAUUGAUAACCUCAGUUUGACCAUCGGACUGUGGGUGGUAAGCAGUAGAAGUGUUUAAGGUCACUCCUUGGGUAGCAAACAGUUCCUGCCACAAUUUGCUCGUGAAGAUUGGGUCCCUACCACUCACAAUAUCUUCAGGCAUUCCAUGAAGCUUAAAGAUAUUUUCCAUGAACAACUUGGCAAUGUCUAUUGCAGAAUAAGGAUGUUUAACUGCUAUAAAAUAAGCAUACUUUGUCAAUCUAUCCACCACCACCCAAAUGACUUCUUUCCCAUUAUACUUGGGCAACCCCUCGAUAAAAUCCAUGCUAAUGCUACUCCAUACCAGUGCUAGAAUUUGUAGUGGCUGCAACAAGCCUGGAGAUGCAGAGUGGUCAUACUUGCUUUUUUGGCACACAUCGCAUUUUUUAACAUAGUUCUCCACUUCUUCCUUCAUCCCCCUCCAGUAAAACAGAGCAGCAACCUUCCUGUAAGUAUGGUCGAUUCCAGAAUGACCACCAGUAACUGAGUCAUGCCACAGUUGAAGUAUCUCCUUCCUAAGCAUUACACUAGACCCAACCACCAUUCUCUCAUUCUUUCGCAAUUGCUGAUUAAUGAGAGAAUACCCCUUCACUUCUUCUUUGAGAUUAUCCAAUUGAUGCAUUAACUCUUGUAACUCUGGAUUUGUAAUCCAGCUAUUCAUGAUGGCCUGUAGUAGGUCAGUUCUCAAGGUGGAUAGUGAGAGAGCAGCAAUUUCCACUGCAUAAAUUUUGGACAGAGCAUUUGCAACUUUAUUCUCCUUACCCUCUUAUAUUCAAUUUCAAAGUCAUAUUGCAUAAGUUUAGUCACCCACUUCAAUUGUGCUCUUGUGUGCAACUUUUGCUCAAGUAGGAAUUUUAAGGCCUUUUGGUCAGUUUUAACAAUGAAAUGUCUAUCUGUUAAAUACUAACCCCACCUUGUGACAGCCAUUACCAAUGCUAGAAACUCUUUGUCAUACACAGACAUAGUUUGGUGUUGUUGAGAUAACCCUUUACUUAGAUAUUCAAUAGGUUGUCCCUUCUGCAUAAUCACAACUCCAAUUCCCACAUCACACGCAUCGGUUUCGACUGUAAAUACCAAGCUAAAAUCUGGCAGAGCUAACACUGGUGCAGUAGUUAGAGCAUUUUUCAAUGACUGAAACGCUGCAGUUGCCUUCCCAGUUCACUUGAAACUAUCUCUCUUCAACAGAUCAGUCAGCGGCUUGCUAAUCUGCCCAUAACCCCUAAUGAAUCUCCUAUAAUACCCAGCCAACCCCAAGAAGCCUCGUAAUUGCUUGACAGUAGAAGGGGUUGGCCACACUUAUACUGCCUGGAUCUUCUUAGGGUCAGUAGAGACCCCCUUGGCAGAGAUAUAAUGUCCCAUAGACUCCACACUUGUUGUAGCAAAAUGACAUUUAGAUUUCCUAGCAAAGAGAUAGUGCUGCAGCAACAAUCUAAAGGUCUCUUUUAAGUGAGCCAUAUGAUCCUGCAUAGUCUCGCUAAAAACCAGUAUAUCAUCAAAGAACACUAAGAUAAACUUCCUCAAAUGCUCUUGAAAAAUGUGGUUCAUCAAGCCUUGAAAGCUACAGGGAGCAUUCGCCAAAUGGCAUCACCAAAUACUCAUAAUGACCUGAAUGGGUCCUAAAAGCUGUCUUGUGAAUGUCUGAGGGUGCCAUCCUAAUUUGGUGAUAGACUGAUCCAAGAUCAAUCUUAGAAUACACCUGNNNNN